This 304-nucleotide ribosomal RNA is filed under the name uncultured bacterium. Its description in RNAcentral is "partial 16S ribosomal RNA". It matches the Rfam family "Bacterial small subunit ribosomal RNA", at positions 509 to 807 of the family's 1533-position model. The record is from RNAcentral.
CAGCAGUCGCCGCGGGAACACGAAGGGUGCAAGCGUUAAUCGGAAUUACUGGGCGUAAAGCGUGCGUAGGUGGUGGUUUAAGUCCGUUGUGAAAGCCCUGGGCUCAACCUGGGAAUUGCAGUGGAUACUGGGUCACUAGAGUGUGGUAGAGGAUAGUGGAAUUUCCGGUGUAGCAGUGAAAUGCGUAGAGAUCGGAAGGAACAUCAGUGGCGAAGGCGGCCAUCUGGGACAACACUGACGCUGAGGCACGAAAGCGUGGGGAGCAAACAGGAUUAGAUACCCCCGUAGUCCCUGUCUCUUAUAC